RNAcentral lists this ribosomal RNA (253 nucleotides) under uncultured bacterium. Its description in RNAcentral is "partial 16S ribosomal RNA". It matches the Rfam family "Bacterial small subunit ribosomal RNA", at positions 524 to 776 of the family's 1533-position model. The record is from RNAcentral.
UACGGGGGGGGCAAGCGUUGUUCGGAAUCACUGGGCGUAAAGGGUGCGUAGGCGGUCGGGUAAGUCUGACGUGAAAUCUCCAAGCUCAACUUGGAAAUGGCGUCGGAUACUAUUCGGCUGGAGGAAUGGAGGGGAGACUGGAAUUCUCGGUGUAGCAGUGAAAUGCGUAGAUAUCGAGAGGAACACCAGUGGCGAAGGCGAGUCUCUGGACAUUUCCUGACGCUGAGGCACGAAAGCCAGGGGAGCAAACGGG